CGCUGGCGGCAUGCUUUACACAUGCAAGUCGAACGGUAACAGGUCUUCGGAUGCUGACGAGUGGCGAACGGGUGAGUAACACAUCGGAACGUGCCUAGUAGUGGGGGAUAACUACUCGAAAGAGUAGCUAAUACCGCAUGAGAUCUACGGAUGAAAGCAGGGGACCUUCGGGCCUUGUGCUACUAGAGCGGCUGAUGGCAGAUUAGGUAGUUGGUGGGGUAAAGGCUUACCAAGCCUGCGAUCUGUAGCUGGUCUGAGAGGACGACCAGCCACACUGGGACUGAGACACGGCCCAGACUCCUACGGGAGGCAGCAGUGGGGAAUUUUGGACAAUGGGCGAAAGCCUGAUCCAGCAAUGCCGCGUGCAGGAUGAAGGCCCUCGGGUUGUAAACUGCUUUUGUACGGAACGAAAAGCUCUGGGCUAAUACCCCGGAGUCAUGACGGUACCGUAAGAAUAAGCACCGGCUAACUACGUGCCAGCAGCCGCGGUAAUACGUAGGGUGCAAGCGUUAAUCGGAAUUACUGGGCGUAAAGCGUGCGCAGGCGGUUUUGUAAGACAGUGGUGAAAUCCCCGGGCUCAACCUGGGAACUGCCAUUGUGACUGCAAAGCUAGAGUGCGGCAGAGGGGGAUGGAAUUCCGCGUGUAGCAGUGAAAUGCGUAGAUAUGCGGAGGAACACCGAUGGCGAAGGCAAUCCCCUGGGCCUGCACUGACGCUC
This 717-nucleotide ribosomal RNA is filed under the name Comamonas sp. SMCC B0602. Its description in RNAcentral is "bacterial SSU rRNA". It matches the Rfam family "Bacterial small subunit ribosomal RNA", at positions 34 to 748 of the family's 1533-position model. Lineage: Bacteria; Pseudomonadati; Pseudomonadota; Betaproteobacteria; Burkholderiales; Comamonadaceae. The record is from RNAcentral.